GGCCUGUUAGAUGCGGAGGUUGGCUGGACAGCAGCUGGAGAUCUAUUUGUAUUUGCAGAGAGCAUUGAAGCCAACAUUUUCUUUAAGAGCAUCUGUAAAUGACCCCAAAAUUGUGCAUGUACCUCAGGAUAAUCAGUUCCAAACGAAUCUGAAGUCGCUUCAGACACAAAGCGUCCUUCAAACAUGCGAGAUAGAGCAGAUUCUAGCAUUGCAUUUGGAUGUAAGACACUAGAGAGGCUUAAUGAAAGUGCUGAUCUUUCUGUAAGAAUAGUUAUAUACAUGCUGGGAUGUGUCUUUGGUCCAUAAAAUUCUAUUGCUUUUUGCCAGUUCCUCUCAGCCAAGGAAGCAUAUUGCUUCACCCGCUGGAUAAUGCCAUUUUCACCUUUAGGCAAGUUCUUAUGAUCUGACUCCANNNNNNAACAGCAGUCUCUUUGGCAGCAAGCAAGCUGAAAGUAAGCAUAGGCAGCCUCCUGCUUGCGUAAUUCACCCAAAGAUUCAUACACAGACAACGCCUCCCUAAUGGCAUCAUUGGCCGAAAUCUCAUGCUUUCUCAAUUCUGUCCUAGCUCUUUUAUCACCAGGACUAAUAUGAACUUCCAAGGCUCCAUUCUCAUAGACUUCUGCAGUAAUAUCUUCUCUAGCCAAAAGCAUGCCAAGCCUCAGAUAUGUAUGGGCAUAUUGUGUAUAUACUUCAUUCAUCAGGUUCUUUGACUCUAAGUUGUCCUCUUCUGCAAUAGCAAUCAGUUCUGAUUUUGCUGCCCCAUAAUAUUUAAGUGAUUCAGAAUAUUCCAGUUUUGCAGUUUGCAAAGCUUGUUUACAUGUUUUAUGGAAGAUUGAGUGGGCUUUCAAACUUUCAAACUUUGAUACCAUCUCUUCAGCCAAUGCUCGUCUGCCAUGGCCUAAAUUACAAUUGAUUAAUAUGAUGUUGGUGUGAUCAGAAACUUCUCUAAAUGCAGAUAUGGCACCAGCAAAUGCAAGUUCCGCUUUUUUCAACUCUUUUCUUCCAAGCCUAU
This 1012-nucleotide unclassified non-coding RNA is filed under the name Hevea brasiliensis (rubber tree). Lineage: Eukaryota; Viridiplantae; Streptophyta; Magnoliopsida; Malpighiales; Euphorbiaceae. The record is from RNAcentral.